AUUGAACGCUGGCGGCAUGCCUUACACAUGCAAGUCGAACGGCAGCACGGGGGCAACCCUGGUGGCGAGUGGCGAACGGGUGAGUAAUACAUCGGAACGUGCCCGGUAGUGGGGGAUAGCUCGGCGAAAGCCGGAUUAAUACCGCAUACGACCUGCGGGUGAAAGCGGGGGAUCGCAAGACCUCGCGCUAUCGGAGCGGCCGAUGUCAGAUUAGGUUGUUGGUGGGGUAAAGGCCACCAAGCCGACGAUCUGUAGCUGGUCUGAGAGGACGACCAGCCACACUGGGACUGAGACACGGCCCAGACUCCUACGGGAGGCAGCAGUGGGGGAAUUUUUGGACAA
Molecule: ribosomal RNA, 342 nt
Filed under: uncultured bacterium
Lineage: Bacteria
Description: bacterial SSU rRNA
Rfam family: Bacterial small subunit ribosomal RNA
Source: RNAcentral